GCGUCCUUCGGGCAGAGCGGGAUUCAUAAUGUCCACAUAGCCAUUAGUUUAGACUUAAGUUUAUUGGUUCAAGUGUGGAUUAAGAACUGAAUGGACGUUUUAAAAUGUUUAUGGUUAUAAAUGUUUAUUGCUGGGAUCAAAAUGAGAACACUUAUAUUAACACUUUAAUAUCCUAAAAUAAGAAAAAAACAAAACAUCCCUACAUUAACCAUAGGUAUCCACAUAUACUCAGGAUUAUUUCGCCUUAUAGACAACUAUCUCCACUUUUACGUCUCCCUGGACCGGGACCUGACCCAGAGUCCCGGGCCGAGGUUCAGGGAACGCUACGGAGCCGGGGGCGUUCAGCUGGACAAAGUGGGCGAGGACACGUACAAGCUGAACAUAGCCAAAGUAAAACUGUUGGACCAGGGAGUGGUCUACUGCCAGGCUGUGGAGUGGAUCGAGGGCCCCGACGGACACAGGAACCCAAUCUCCUCGAAGCUCUCAGAGAAAACCCCUGUGAAGGUCAAAGCUAAAGGCAACGAGAGGGCAUCCUCAGGCUCUGGACCUUCUCCAGGGGUCCGUCCAGGCAUCCUCACAUAUCUGAUCGCGUUGGUCCUACUGGCGUUGGUCUGGUGAUGACGAUACAGGGCCAAGGAGAUGGACACCCCCCUGAAGUCCCAGCCCACCCUGGAGGACUGAAGGAGAGGAGGAGAGGAAGGGAAGCAGUAGGGGAGGAGAAGGAGAGCAGGGGGUAAAGGAGAGAGGAGAGGAGAGUGUAGAGCAGGGAGUAAAAGUGAGUUAGUUAGUUAGUUGUCCCCUUAGGGAAAUUAUUUUUCAGUUUCCUUCAUUAAUUUCUCAUCAUCAUUUCUCGUCAUAGGCACAUUAAGAACAUACAUAAGACAUUUAUAGAGUUGACAUUGAUGACGGACAUACAUUGGGGUUCGGUACAGGGGGAUACAUACAUUGUUAAAUACAUUAUCUAUGGGGCUUUGCUUUGUUCAGGAAUGGGAUGGCGGAUGGGGGGGGUCAGGCUGAAACAGGCUUUGUUGCAUCUUCUCUCCGUUCUAGAUGGAGAUGAGGGAGUAAAGGAGAGAGGAGACGGAGAGGAGGGAGUGAAGAAGAGAGGAGACGGAGAGGAGGGAGUAAAGGAGAGAGGAGAGGGAGAGGAGGGAGUAAAGGAGAGAGGAGACAGAGAUGAGGGAGUAAAGGAGAGAGGAGAGGAGAGCAGGGAAUAUUGGAGAGAUGGGAAAAAAUAGGUUGUGUAGCAUCUUAUCCUAGCUUUGUUUUUUGUAUGCGGGAAUGGGUAAACCUAGCAAUUGUUAGUUAUUGGCACAUGGCUCUAUGAACAUCCUUACUGUACCGACAGCGAUACAUUGUUUCUCUUUCUUCUGACAAAUGCACUGAUUGUAAGCCGCUUUUGAUAAAAGUGUUUGAGCUCGCUGCCUUGAAUGUAAAUGUAAGGGGGGCUAUAAUUUCCCUCAACAAUGUCAAAUGCAUCUACUAUUAGUUGAAUUGUUCAACUCGUAAAGACCAUAACUUUUACAUUCAUGGCAAUAAAUAAAACAAGUUUGUUGAAAAUG
This is a long non-coding RNA of Gadus macrocephalus (Pacific cod), 1562 nucleotides long. RefSeq lists it as uncharacterized. The transcript is spliced from 2 exons. Lineage: Eukaryota; Metazoa; Chordata; Actinopteri; Gadiformes; Gadidae. The record is from RefSeq and is a predicted model, not a curated record.